GGCCUUUUGUUAAAAAUUUAAGGUCUAGCCUGCUCGCUGAGGAGUUAAAGGGCCGCGGUAUUUUGACCGUGCUAAGGUAGCAUAAUCAUUAGUUUCUUAAUUAGAAGCUGGAAUGAAUGGUUGGAUGAAAAAAUUACUGUUUCAAAUUAAUUGAUAUUUAAUUUUAUCUUUAAGUAAAAAAGCUUAAAUUUUUUUAAAAGACGAGAAGACCCUAUAGAGUUUUAUAAAAUAGAUAUAAUUAAAAUUUUUAGAAAUAUUAAAUUUAAUUUUAAAUUUUAUUUGAUUGGGGUGAUUAAAAAAUUUAAUAAACUUUUUUUUAUUAUAACAUUAAUAUAUGAUUUUUUGAUCCAUUAUUUAUGAUUAAAAGAUUAAAUUACCUUAGGGAUAACAGCGUUAUUUUAUUGGAGAGUUCAAAUCGAUAAUAAAGUUUGCGACCUCGAUGUUGGAUUAAAAUUAAUUUUUGGUGAAGAAGCUAAAAAUAUUAGGUCUGUUCGACCUUUAAAAUUU
Molecule: ribosomal RNA, 507 nt
Filed under: Moechotypa diphysis
Lineage: Eukaryota; Metazoa; Arthropoda; Insecta; Coleoptera; Cerambycidae
Description: partial 16S ribosomal RNA
Rfam family: Bacterial large subunit ribosomal RNA
Source: RNAcentral